RNAcentral lists this long non-coding RNA (1194 nucleotides) under Marmota monax (woodchuck). The record is from RNAcentral. Lineage: Eukaryota; Metazoa; Chordata; Mammalia; Rodentia; Sciuridae.
GUGCAGCUUGCCUGGGUCCCCCACCCCUGGAUCACCCUAUCCUUGGGUCCCUGGAGCUCCUUCUCUAUACCUUCCCCGGUGGGCUUCCCACUCACUCCUGUGGUCUCAAUUGUCACUUCUGUGCAGAAGGUUCAGCAACAAUGUGCCUGCCCGACUUCUCCUGAGCUCUGCUCUGUGUGCUAGGACUGUUGCAGUCUCCUCCCAGAGUUAGACUGACCUUUGGCUCUGCCAGGGCCAAGCCCUCACCUCCCUGUGGCCAUGCAGCACAGGGCUCCCAGCAGCCCAGGUGGGGUCUGGAGUCCACUGUGCACCCUCUCUCCGCAGCCUCCUAUGUGGCGGCACCCGCUAGGAGCCAGCCUCCGCCAGCUUCCUGGAGCCCCAUAGCUGUCUCUCCCCUGUGUCCCUGCCACCCCCAACUGAGGUCUCUGUCACUUUUCCUUGAUGUGGUUAGAAGGCCAUUCCAGUUGGCAUCCCUAACCAAAGUUCCUUCUCAUUCAAUUCAUGUCACACAUUAUUUUUGGAGGAACACUACCAGAAAAUCUCUUUAAAAGGUUAAGCUUCCUCUCCUUUGAUUCUGACCAGCUUUAAGAUUAGAAUCUGGCCCAAUCUAUGCUUUGCCUUUUUCUCUAUUACCCCCUUGGCUCAAAACACGUGGCCCACGUCGAGGAGACCAUGGGCAUUUCCUUCUGGCAUCUGCCCCUCCCCAGCGUCCCUCCUGGCCUCCAGCCCCUGAGGUGAGGUUCCUUGUCCUAAAGGACUCUUGAGAUAGUCCACAAGGAGCUCUCCAGCUCCCCACGCCCAUCUCUGCUUCAGAAGAUGCUUCUAGAGCCUCCCUGUCCCCCUCUUGGUCAGUCCCCCUCCUGCUGACUUUCCUCAGCCUGUAUUUCUAGAACAUGUUGUUUUCCCUGCUGGAUCAGGGAUAUUUUGAAGAUAGACUUUAUGUCUUAACUCCUUGGCCACAAGCCUGUUACGAUUUCUGAAGAGAGCAUUUCUGCGGCUUACUUGAGACCAGCAGAGAAGCUUGCGGUAACAAAAGCAAGCGCACGAAGCAUCAUUUCCAUCCAAGUGGGGAUCUGUCAGCAGAGGGCGUGUGAAACGUCCUAGGGUGGGCAGCUGAAGUGUGUGGGCAGCAUGGUGCUGUUGGAGGACUUGUAAAGUACCCACGUGGAAUUACAAAUUUUUCCUUAAAGUUCA